RNAcentral lists this ribosomal RNA (392 nucleotides) under Olea europaea subsp. europaea. Its description in RNAcentral is "Eukaryotic small subunit ribosomal RNA". It matches the Rfam family "Eukaryotic small subunit ribosomal RNA", at positions 1254 to 1602 of the family's 1831-position model. The record is from Rfam by way of RNAcentral. Lineage: Eukaryota; Viridiplantae; Streptophyta; Magnoliopsida; Lamiales; Oleaceae.
GCACCAUGUGGGAUUUUCUCUCACUAGAUUGAAAACAUCAAUCUCUAAGUCACUUUUACUAGGAGCUCUUUCUAGAUUCUAUGGGUAGUGGUGCAUGGCCGUUCUUAGUCUGUGGAGCGAUUUGUUCGAUUAAUUUCGUUAACAAACGAGACCUGAACCUACUUCCUAGCUAUACCAGGGUACCCUUUCACGGCCAGCUUCUUAGAGGGACUACAGCCUUUUAGGCUGUGAAAGUUUGAGGCAAUAACAAGUGUGUGAUGCCCUUAGAUGUUCUGGACCGCACGCGCGCUACAAUGAUGUAUUCAACGAGUUUAUAGCCUUGGUCAAUAGGUCCGGGUAAUCUUUAAAAUUUCAUCGUUAUGGGGAUAGAUCAUUGCAAUUGUUGGUCGACG